This is a long non-coding RNA of Cyprinus carpio carpio, 357 nucleotides long. Lineage: Eukaryota; Metazoa; Chordata; Actinopteri; Cypriniformes; Cyprinidae. The record is from Ensembl.
GGUUGCCAAGGCAGCGGCGUGUUCUGCCAGCCGCGCGCUCACCUUGAAUGAAUGGAGGACCUGUGAGAUUCGCGUAACAGCCUUUAAAGGCGGCGGAAGGAGGGUGGAGUGGAAGUGCGUCAAUCACCAAGUGCCGGUACACGCCCACGGCAACGAGCGUUGUUUGUAUACGGGCCUGGAUACAGAAAUACUGGAGCUGCCUCUUUCCCAGAAUGUGUGAAUACAGAACUCACACAUAGGCACAAUUUUAUUUAACCCUAUAUGCUGAAAAGACCAAUAUGCUGGUUAGUGGUGGACUAGCAUAGCUUUGAACCCAGAAACUGCCAGCAUGGCAUAGUCUCUUACUGUGCAACCAAC